Molecule: ribosomal RNA, 301 nt
Filed under: uncultured bacterium
Lineage: Bacteria
Description: partial 16S ribosomal RNA
Rfam family: Bacterial small subunit ribosomal RNA
Source: RNAcentral
CAGUAGCCACGGUAAAACAGAGGGUGCGAGCGUUAAUCGGAUUUACUGGGCGUAAAGCGUGCGUAGGCGGCUUUUUAAGUCGGAUGUGAAAUCCCUGAGCUUAACUUAGGAAUUGCAUUCGAUACUGGGAAGCUAGAGUAUGGGAGAGGAUGGUAGAAUUCCAGGUGUAGCGGUGAAAUGCGUAGAGAUCUGGAGGAAUACCGAUGGCGAAGGCAGCCAUCUGGCCUAAUACUGACGCUGAGGUACGAAAGCAUGGGGAGCAAACAGGAUUAGAUACCCCCGUAGUCCCUGUCUCUUAUAC